UUUUCCUUGAACAGCAAGAUGACAAGUCUGACCCCAGUUACGUUAACAUGGCUGGAAGUUGAAAGCCUGCAACGAGGAUUUCAUUUUCAACCAUUUCUGUAAAACGUGGCUGUGAAGACGUUGGUCAGAUGAACGGCUGUGCCUGGGAGUCACAAGUCACAAAACUACUCGCCUGGGGAGAGCAGACACAGUACUAGGGCCUCGGAGAAUGGGAGUAAAGAGAUGGGAAAAAAAAUAAGUAAAAUGACAUUUCCGAAAUUAUGCAGCUGGUAUGUUACAAGCAUCAAUCCAGAGCCAGGAAGAGGAUCAAAGGUAGAACAUUGACAGGCCCCGCCCCCUUCUUCAUCCAAAUGGCCACUGCUCUGAUUGUCCAUUAUGCGAUCAACAGUUAACCCCAGGGGACAGCAUCUAGGAUUUCCUAGGAUGGCUUUAUCAGCCUCCUUCCCUGCAGACUGUGUGGUGCAUCUUGGGAAGAGAAACUCAAAUUAACUACCAAAAGCAUUCACUGUGGACCAGGAAGGCAUCAGAUGUAAGAUACAGGUAA
Myotis myotis is the source of this 544-nucleotide long non-coding RNA. RefSeq lists it as uncharacterized. NCBI's taxonomy places the organism in Eukaryota, Metazoa, Chordata, Mammalia, Chiroptera, Vespertilionidae. The record is from RefSeq and is a predicted model, not a curated record. The transcript has 6 exons.